GCCCCGUGUUUUUUUUCCUGUAUGAAAGUCAGAGUCCUUGAAAAAUCUGCCUGUAGAGCCUGCCCCGUGCUUUCAAGAUCAAUACUUCCUCAAUAGACUGAAAAGCGUUAAGAAGCCCCGUCACGAUAUAAGUCUUCAUGAUACCUUUCUCCUCUCCUUCCAUCUCAUAUAUGGCACUACACAUCUUGCUACUCUUCCAUGAAGCCUCUCAAGCUUAACAGCCCUCUCAUCUUUAAAAUUAUUUUUGAGAUCCAAUAUCAUUCAUUACCAUGAUUCUGAGAUCCAAUAUCAUUCGCCACCAUGAUUGCCACCAAAUUUUGGCUUGUAAAGCUGAAUGAAUUAGUUGAAAUGAUAAAUAGUAAUUGAUCGUGCAACAAUUUAGGAUCUCAUAUAAAAAAACUAGCAAAAAAUAAUUAUUUGAAUUUUUUGAUCCUGACAAAAUAUCUAAGUUCUUUUCAGCAAACAAUUGACGUGGGAUAAAAUACAUGUUGAUAUGAGUUCUCAAAAAUUCAUUUAUGGCCUGUUCGGAUUAAAAAAUUAGUUUAAAGUAGAAAAUCCGAUCUGUAAAUAAAAAAUAGAAAAAAUUGAAGACCGUUUGAUUUGAUCCAACAAAAAUCCUCCAAUGC
This 626-nucleotide long non-coding RNA is filed under the name Elaeis guineensis (African oil palm). RNAcentral's name for it is "long non-coding RNA (EGUI_LNC006279)". The record is from RNAcentral. Lineage: Eukaryota; Viridiplantae; Streptophyta; Magnoliopsida; Arecales; Arecaceae.